ACAGACACGAGAUAGGCAGCUCAGACUAGAUUAUUUAAUGUAAAGCAUCCUUUAAUAGCUGGUCAGCCAGGACUGACCUCCACUAGACAGGCUAGAAGAGACCAGCCCCGAACCUGUAGCAAGGUGCACUUUUAAGCGCCUUUACCACAUCCUAGUACAGCCUUGCGAUUACAGAUUUCUGUUGGAAUCCUUACAAAGUGUUAACUCAUUAAAGUUGAUAGAGACAAUAAUUAUCUAAUUUAGCAUGGUUCAGUAUGAUUGAUCUGAUCUUACAAGGAGAUGUUAUGGGCCAGAUCUUGAAAGGAGGUACUAAGUGGAACUGAUAGAAACAAUGCUUGUGUUCACACUUUUAAAGAGCUCAUAUAAGCAAGUAGCUCUUAGGGCCAGAGGCACUCUGGGACAGACACAGCAGCACUACAGGACAGACACAGGAGGACUCUGGGAGGAAGCCCACAAGCCCACUCUCAGAGGUGGAGUCAGAUUCAUUCACUUCAUCUCACACCACUGUGGUGACUGGCCUCCUGAACUUCCCCUACUGAGACCAAGGCUGGUCUGAAAGGCUCUCCAGAAAGCUGCCCGGCCCCAGGCAAGGAGACAAGAGAUUCAUUCCAUCUUCCACCUUUGUGCUGGCUGGAGGCUGAAGAAUAUACCUUUGGAUUUGGAGACAUUCGGAGGGAGCUCUUGGAACCAAGCAGAGAGAUAGGCCACCAAGAAAACUAACCGGGCUAUUUUGGAGGAAACAAUAAAAGAUCUGAACUUUUAACACCUAGCUGCAUUUGGAGUGAUUAUUACUCUGAACCAAAACUAAGGCUGCCUUCAGAAAACCUCCCCAAGAAACCUGCUUCCACAGAGAAUUAUUAUAUUUUAAAGAAGAGAACACCACAUUUUGGUGCCCUGAAUGUGGGACUGACAGACCCCUCAGUGGAUUUCAGUGGAAAAGCUCCAAUCCUGAUCUCAGUGGAAAAGUCUCCUCAACCCAGAAAUUAGGACAGAGAAGGACACAUAUGGAGAAGGAAUCAGAUGGGUGUCGAGCUGUAUUCGCCUUGUCCAUCAGAAAGAAAAAGAGAAAAAACCUCAAAACAAAAGAGAAGAUUUAAGAAACAUCUGACACUGAAAGAGCAUGGCUGACAAUGAGACUGUUAAAAGAACUUUAAAACUUUCAGGAAUCACUGGAUUCCCUAACACAAGAUGAACAAAACCCAGCAGGAAUCAUUGGAUUCCUUGAGAUGAAAAAUUGUUGAUGAGACUAUUGUAGUACUUCAGAGCUUACAGGAACUAUUGGAUUCCUGGCACAUGAACUAAUGGACAAUGGAUUCCUUUUGGACUAUUUUUAGGACUUAUGGACAUGUAUAAAUUCUCAUGUUGAUUCAUGUUAUUUGUUACAUUACUAUUAGCCUGUGUUAUAUUGCUAUGUGCUUAUGUAAUUAUGUGUAAUGCCUCCCAUAUUGAUGGAUUUAUGUAUACUGUUUCAAGUGAGCCCCUUCAGAAACCCGCUAAUCUGAUCUGACUUCCUAUUUCCUUUGGUUUCUCGUUUACAAUGGGGAUAUGUCUGGAUGUGAGUGAGCACACAAAGGAACCUGUCGACAUGUUUUGCCAUGUUGUCCUGACUCGGUUAGGCACACACUUCUCAGAAAGUCUGGGACUUCAACUGCUUCUCGGAAAGUCUAGGAUCUCAUGAACAGGGGGAUGGGGCCCAGUCUGAACAUAACACUUUCCUUAAUUUAGUUUGAGCAACAUGUGCCUAUAAGCCUGAGGCCCCUUGACCCAGGGAUGAGGGGGCCAGUCUUUUGUCCAUUUCAUUGUUCUUUUACUCUGAGUCACCACUCCCUCUGGACUCAGUUUCCUGAACUGCUAAAUUACUCUUACUGCUUCAAAUAGCCCCAGCAUGGAGUUGAUAAAAGUUUGACUCAACACCUAUGUUACAAGUAAUCAUAGAGAGUAUUAUAGUAAAUGUUAACAAGCAAACUCAGUUGUUUUGUAGCUAUAUCCCCAUACCACUAUUAACAAGUACCAUCAUACACCAUCCACCACUUACUUCCCAUUGGUUAAACAUGGAAAAUUUCCUGGUAAAGCUUUGGAGCCCUGAAUAAGACAGGUGCUUUCUAUUAACCACAGAGCAAACAAUCAGGAAAUCAACAGUAAUCAAAAGGGAAAAAAAAGAAGUGUGGGCUGGAAUGGAUAGAUAAUAUAUAUCAGUUCAUCAGAUAAAGAUAGAAGUAAAAUACCUACAAGUUAUGAUAAAAACAUAGGAGAGACAUAAUUCUGGGCAAAGAGCAACGAAUUUAUUUUUUUUUAAUUUAUUUUAAGUUUGGGGUUUCAAAUUCUAUCCUUUCUUCCCUCUCUCUUUUCUGCCCCCCCCAGUAAGCAAUAAGAUUUAGAUUAAACAUGUACAAUCACGUAAAAUAUUUCUGUAUUAGUCAUUUUGUAAAAAAAAAAAAAAAAAAAUCAAAUAAAAGAAAAAGUGAAAGAAAAUGAAAAAAAUAACAUGCUUCAGUCUGUAUUUAAUCAAUAUCAUUUCUUUGGAGGCAGAUGGCAUGCAUCAUUCAUUUUUUGGAAUCAACUUCCAUUAUGUUGCAUUGUCAUUCUCAGAUCUUUAUUGAGCAACAUUAUGUUUCUGUGUACAACAUUCUGAUUUUGUUUACUUUAC
RNAcentral lists this long non-coding RNA (2647 nucleotides) under Sarcophilus harrisii (Tasmanian devil). Its description in RNAcentral is "lncRNA (ENSSHAG00000026271.1)". Lineage: Eukaryota; Metazoa; Chordata; Mammalia; Dasyuromorphia; Dasyuridae. The record is from RNAcentral.